UAUUGGGCUGGCCAAAAAGUUCGUUCAGGUUUUUCUGUAAGACGGUAUGGAAAACUUGAAUGAACCUUUUGGCCAACCCAAUAUAU
RNAcentral lists this microRNA precursor (86 nucleotides) under Ovis aries (sheep). RNAcentral's name for it is "miRNA (ENSOARG00000023637.1)". Lineage: Eukaryota; Metazoa; Chordata; Mammalia; Artiodactyla; Bovidae. The record is from RNAcentral.